CGGGUGAGUAACACGUAUCCAACCUGCCGUCUACUCUUGGACAGCCUUCUGAAAGGAAGAUUAAUACAAGAUGGCAUCAUGAGUCCGCAUGUUCACAUGAUUAAAGGCAUUCCGGUAGACGAUGGGGAUGCGUUCCAUUAGAUAGUAGGCGGGGUAACGGCCCACCUAGUCUUCGAUGGAUAGGGGUUCUGAGAGGAAGGUCCCCCACAUUGGAACUGAGACACGGUCCAA
RNAcentral lists this ribosomal RNA (231 nucleotides) under uncultured bacterium. RNAcentral describes it as "partial 16S ribosomal RNA". It matches the Rfam family "Bacterial small subunit ribosomal RNA", at positions 103 to 334 of the family's 1533-position model. The record is from RNAcentral.